Molecule: unclassified non-coding RNA, 235 nt
Filed under: plant metagenome
Description: partial contains internal transcribed spacer 2 and large subunit ribosomal RNA
Source: RNAcentral
CUGUCCGAGCGUCAUUGCGAACCCCUCAAGCACGGCUUGUGUGAUGGGCCUCUCGCGUCCUGGGAUCCCCCGGGACGGGUCCGAAUAGCAGUGGCGGCGACGCGGUUUAUCCGAUCAGCCAGAGCGUAUGGGGACUCUCCGUCACACGUCUCGCGGCGCGGACCGACGUCUGCCUAUUGAUCAAUCUUUUCUCGGUUGACCUCGGAUCAGGUAGGGAUACCCACUGAACUUAAGC